CUCCAAGAGAGAUUUGAAUGUGAAAUUCAGACCUUUACAUGUGACAUAUGAGCAAAAUAGACACUCGGGCAUCCAUACAUGUCUGAUACGUGGCCUUAAUGGUCUGAGUGAUAGAUCAGAUAUCUGAUGUUAAUGUUCUCAGGACUGAUUGAGGUUUUCCUGCAGAACCUGUAGCUUAUCAUCACUGAGAGCUUCUCACCUGUUAUAAUCAGUAAUCAUCAAUAACACACUUUGGACCACUAGGGGUCACUUUGUGUGUGUGUAUCACCAACAGGAAUGGAGUUUCAAAGCGUAACCCCAGUGUUUAAACUCAAUAACCCAGUAACAGUAUAUUCUGUAUACAGUAUGGAGUGUAUGAUGAUGAAUGUGACAUGGCCAACUAUUACUCUGCUCAUGUGGGACUGUGUGUGUGUUGCCAGGUAAAAAAUACAGUGAAUAUCCACCUGUGUUUAUUCCGUCUGCCACAGUACACCACUGACAUCCUGAUUACCUUCAAUGACCCCGUUAGCAUCAGUCCUCUCAGCAUUAGCAGUGGUGCGGUUUCUGAUGGUGUUUGGACAGUGCAGGACUUUCACACACUUGUCCAGUCUUUCCGGCUGCUCAACCCUGAAGUGUUUGGAUAACACACACACACACACCUCUGAAAUAAAUGUGUUGUCUCCUUCA
Long non-coding RNA from Neoarius graeffei (lesser salmon catfish), 666 nucleotides. RefSeq lists it as uncharacterized. The record is from RefSeq and is a predicted model, not a curated record. The transcript has 2 exons. Lineage: Eukaryota; Metazoa; Chordata; Actinopteri; Siluriformes; Ariidae.